UGCAUAUCACCCUGAUUAGCCAAUGGGAAGGGUAGCAGAGGUACAGCUAAUUACCAUGUUUCUCUUUUAUUAGAUAGGAUUGAAACCGAUCAUUUUGAUAAGCCUUUAAAAUGGGAAAUAUAGAGCAUAAACUGGUAGAAAACAUUCAAUUGGUACAUAAAUUCUGACUCAGAUCUUUUCACUUCAGCGUGAUCUGCAUUGUGUGGCUCAGAAACAGAAGUCCUUUGGAAAAGCUGAUGGAUUUAUUGUGGUCAUUCAGAGUAUGAUGAUCAGCAGCUAAAGUCUUUGGAAGUAUUUGAUGCAGGAAAACUUGCUUGCUAAAAGUUCAGAGUGGAGUGAAUGGAGUAAGGAUUUUGGUGGUAUUUGAUGGCAUUAGGCCAAGGGACUCAGGGUUAGUUACAUCAUGCCGCAACCCACAGUCCUCCUGUCCCAUGAAGUAGGUGCCCAGAUAGAUCUAUACACACAGAGAAGAAGAUAAAGGGUAGUUUAUUUUCAAAGCUCUGAUGAGCUGACUAGAGCGAGAAACAAAAGGCCCAAGGAAUCUUCCCCAUUUGCUGCCUUCCUCCACCUAACCUCACACUGGGAUGUUCUGAAUCUAAGACACCCCUGACUGACUAUCCCUUUUUCAUAAGAAAAGAAAAAUUACAUUCAAAUGAAGUUACAUGUUAGUCCUCAAAUUAUACAUAUGGUUUAUUAUGUAGAAGAAGAUGGAGAAAACAAUUUGCCUUAAAAUCAACUAUUUUGAUCCCAUGCUUAAAAAAAAAAAAAGGAAGCUGGAUAGAUCAGGAGACUAUUAUUAACUUAUUUAUUAGCUUAUUUAUGCAUAAGAAACAUUUUCUUCCUUUUGUAUAAAUAUCAUUUUUAAUUUAAAAGAAGCACAUGUACCAAAUUGGCAUGGUAGAACAUUCAAGAAUUAUAAAAACAUAUAAAAUGUAAAGAAAGCCUUCCAGAUUCUCCAGAUCUCCAGUCCACCUCCCCUAAGGCAACAAAUAAAGAGCAAAUGUUUUAUGUGCCAUAACUAUAGGUGCUAGAAAUACAAGGCUAACAAAUUGUACAUGGUCCAUGCUGUUAGUGUUCAAGGGAGAGAGACCUGAAAUGCAAUUACAGACGCAUGUGCUCUGGCAGGGGAGUGCAGGGCGCUCAGAUGCUAGAGGAGAGAAGCAUGCAUGGUAAUGCAAUGAGGGAGGUGGAGUAAAUUGCCCAGUCACAGUUUGUGAAUUACAGAGACUGGGUUCCUGAACCAAUAUGUUUGAAUCAAAGCCCAUAUUCUUUCUGGGAACUGCUUGCAAUUAUCAGUGGGGUAUUCCACUUUCAGUUUCACUUUAUAUAAUGCCUCAAGAGAGAAGUUUACUAGCCAGAGGGAAUUUCCCAGCUACAAAAAGAUGGUGCUGGGUAAAAAUUUAUUAUUAUUAGGUAUUUCAUGGGAAAUUCCACUUUCCUUUGACAUUUUAUUUGGCAGGUUUUCAAGAGUGUGGAAAGCUAUGCUACUAGUCGCUCAUCUGCAUUUAACUUUCAGCCCCUGAAUUUAGCAGAAUAAUUUGAGCAAAAUAUACUAAGGUAUAUUAACUUUUUAAACCAAAACACACAUACGUUUUUUUUGCUUUGAAGUGACUGUGUGAAAGAGGUUGUAAGUUCAGCACUCUCUGUAGUGUCCUGUUUUGGGCAAACACAGACAAAGCUGUGGAAGAGGCAGUGCUGGCCAGGCUGUCCAGGUCAUGAGGGCAAAUGGUGUGGAAACUAUGAUUGAAUCAGGGCUCCCACGUCAGCAGCUGAACAGGGGCCAGAGAGCACUUGAAGGUUUGUUGGGAAACCAGGAACUCUCAGGAAGUGAAAUGGCAAUGUCUGCCCUGCCACCGCGGCCUUGUUGAACAAUUCCAGGGAUCACUGUCACACUGGGAGUGACAUGAAUGAGGCCCUGCUUACCUCCUGGGAUUGUUCUGAGUGGCUCAAGAUAUACAAUGACUGUAAAAGGUGUUUAUAAGUAAAUAAUAACGAUUCUUAUCUCCUUUACUAAGAAGGAAGAACACAGCCUCUCUCAGCUGGGAACAUGCCUAUCACUGUGAAUCUGUGAAGUCCUGUUGAAUAUAAACGUGGUCAGAGAACACCAGCCUCAGACAAGACUACUUUGUGAUGGCAGUGGAGCAAGAUAAAAUAAGGCCACUUCAUGAUCAUAUCUGAAAAGAUAAAUAAGAAAUAGUCCAAAACCCAAAAUGAGCACACAUCACCCUUUCCUGGCUAACAAUGAGAACCUACUGCUUCUUUACCAAUUGCAGCUUUAGCUUGAUUUCACUCCUCUCAUAGCGCAGAUAAGAAUUAAGAUACCCAAUCAGAGAAUUUCUCUUUCUUCCAGACAGCAUCCAGUGCAGGGAAGAUCCCCAAUUUCCUUGAAUGCUCCCAAAUUACCUAAGACAGGCUCUAUCCUGUAGUAAGUUCUUCCUAAUAGCCUCUUACUGAGAUACCCCAUGCUCCCCCCAGGGUGCACCUUUCUCCUUGCAGUGAGACAGGGAAGAGCUUUCUAGAGCGGCAGAUGUGCCCCUGGUGGUCUUUGGUUAGAGGACACUGACAAGUUCAUGGAGCAGUUAUUGCCCAGCCAAGAGCCCUCAUAUCUGCAUCUCGGUCAUUUAAUACCAAAAUACUAGGCACUAGAUCAGUGAUGGUGAACCUAUGACAUGCAUGUCAGAGGUGACAUGCGAACUCAUUUUUUUGGUUGAUUUUUCUUUGUUAAAUGGCAUUUAAAUAUAUAAAAUAAAUAUAAAAAAUAUGUCUUUGUUUUACUAUGGUUGCAAAUAUCAAAAAGUUUCUAUAUGUGACACGGCACCAGAGUUAAGUUAGGGUUUUUCAAAAUGCUGACACGCCGAGCUCAAAAGGUUCUUCAUCACUGCACUAGAUGCUACUCAUCGUGUGCAGAUGCAGAAACAGGCACAGCAAUGUUAAUUACUUGUGUAAGGUCCCACAGCUAUUCUGUGGCAGAGCCAGGAUUUGAACCAAGGAAAUUCCAUUGCUGCAUCUUGAAUCUGUUCAACUGCACUCAGGCAGUGAGACUUAGGAGAGAUGGAGUGUGAAUUAUGUUACAGGUCAACACUGUGAUAUGAAAAGUUGUUGUACAUGUGAGCAAGGAUAUGUUUAAAGGAGUUCAGUCUAGCAAUCAAAGUAUUGAUGUGUCUCUAGUAAUACUUUACUAGUUUAUUAAAGUUGUUAUGUACAUCAUUUUUAUUCUUUAAAAGUCUUUCUCAUAACAAUUUUGACUUGGAUAUAUAUUGAUAUGAACUGAACCAUUCCAGCGAAAAACUAUGGGGCUUUGGAAUCAGAUCACAUGAGUUAGAAGUCUCCUCUUUCAGUAACCGCAGUGCCUGACUUCGUUGGUAUUAUGUAAUUUUGACAAGCCUUACUCACUUCCUUCAUCUAUUAAAUAGUGAAAAAGUAUCUUUCUUAAAGCUAUUAUGAGAAUUAAACAGGACUAUGUAUAAGGCUAUACACAAUAUUAAUUUCCUUUCCCAAAGUAUUUGGGGCCUUGCCAAUUUUAGUUUAGUGAGAAUUAUCAAGGCUGGCUUAUGAAAUAUUGAAAAGUGAUUUGCAAAUCAAAACUAUGUGGCUAUACUUUACUUUCUGAUGCGAUCUCCAUGAAUACAAGGGCCAUCUCUGUUUUGUUUACCAGUGCCCAGGACAAUGAGUGAGCUUGAUGAUAGUGCACCCAUUUUCACUGGAGGCCAUGGGAGGAUGCUGUGUGGCCAGCUGAAGACUGCCGUUCUUAGGUUAAAAGCAUGCAGAAUUAUUAGUUCAGAACCAACUGAGAAGUGAGCAAAAGAGCAGUGGAGAUGGAGACCACAAUGUGAACUUCCUCCUGAAAUGUGAAGAUUAUGACUUAGAGCUAUUGGCAAGUGGGUUUCCUAAUCCUGACCUACCUAACAGGCAGAAGAGACCCAGCCUGCCCCGAGGAGGCUGCCCAUCAGGGUGCUACGUGGAGGAGCAGCACACAUUCUCUCGGAGGCAGGAAGAAUCCAAAGAGAAAAAAAAGAGAAAGGGGUCAGCCACUAGGUCCCCAAGCUCACAAGUCAGUGACCACAUUCCAUUCUCUCUCCUCCGGGUCUACAUAAAGAAGUUCCCACCCAGGAAAAAGCCCGCCAAAAGUCCUUUAGAAGCCCCUGACUGCCCUCACUGGGUGCUGGAGCCAUCCAGGCUCAGCCACCUGGUGUGUGGAUGAUCGAAUAAAUCCGUAAUCCCUCACCACUCUGGCCUUGUGUGUUCCUCCUUCAGCGACUUAACAUUUGGUGCCAAAACCCCGGAGGGUUCCAUGGGGAUGGGGAGCCAUCGUCCUGGCUUCAGUCACCCCGAGUUUGCUACUCAGAGAGCAGUAGGCAGCAGCAGCUCGUCCUGGGCUUAUCUCUGAAUCCUACUCAGGGAACUCGAUUGCUGGUCUUGAUUCAGCCUCUCUCCCUGUGGGCCCUCCCAAACUGGGGUAGAGGAGCCAAUGGAGGAGCCUAUGGAGGAGCAGUAGGCAGCGGCAGCUUGUCCUGGGCUUACCUCCAAAUCCUUCUGGUGUGACUCGAUUGCCAGCCUUGAUCAGGCCUCCCUCCCUUACGGGGUCUUCCCCAGCCAGCUGAGGAGGAUGCGGACCGGGAAUCUCUCCUUCUCCAUUGCUGAGCCUCCAUCCCACACCGGCCAGUCUCCUCUAGGUGAGUGACCUUCCACAGUUCCCCUCAUCUCAGGUCUUCUGCUCACUCUCUCUCACUGACUUCUCCAAAGUCUCUCAUCUCAGAAGUCCUAGUGCUGGGCCAGAAGAUCCUCAGCCGUUUGGCUUUGGGUCAUUCUGGAUUGGGGAUGCCCAGUCCAGAGGGUCACCUCUCGUUUCUCAUGGUGAUUUGUUUAGCAGCAGGGACACCUGCCCUAAACAGUCACCUUCGGAUUUGUGGUCUCUCACUCACCCUUCCUCUCUCAUGGGCCAUGUGACGCUCCCUCUGCACACUCACGGGAGAGAUCAUGCCCAACCACCUCACUUUAUUUUGUAACACUGUUUGGCAACAACAUAAACUAGAUAAUAAAUCUCAAUGGCUUGAAAACAACACUUUCAAUUUUAAUACACUGAGCAAUUUACAUAAUUGCUGCCCCUGCAAUGGAAAAUGGUCAGAGAUUCCCUAUGCCCAGGCCUUUUCACCCUCCAGUCCCAAUCCUCUCUCUCAGUCCUGCUCUACCCAUUUUACCCCUAACAAUCCUGAUUCUGAAUCUACUCUAGACCCAGCAGACCACCAACCUCCACCCCCUUACACAUCCCCUCCCUCACCUGCAGUAGAUUCCCAAAACCCAGACCCUCUUAACCAGAAACCACCUUCUCCCCAGUCCCUGAAAGCCCAAAUCCUGAGAACAUGAGCUCUAAUACAGCCUUUCCCAUCUAACACUCAUUCUCAGGCCACCCAAAGACUGUCUUCCUCAAUAGCCUCUUCUAUUACCACCUCCAUUCUACCCCUGAGGGAGGCAGCAGGAACCGAGGGCAUAGUCUGAGUCCACGUCCCAUUCUCUAUGUCCAGCCUCACAGAUUGAGAGGCAUCUCAGGUCUUUCUCCACUGACCCGACCACCUUUACUAAGGAGCCUGACCCAGUCCUAUGUCCUGACUUGCUUGGCAUGACAUCUAUGUCGCCCUGUCCUCCUCUACAGAAAUUUACCACCUUAGACCCCACCUCCCCAGAGAGAGAGCCCUUCUUCUAAGCACCCAUUUUGUAGCCCAAUCAGCCUCCGACAUACGCUACAAACUUCAAAAAUAGACACAGGUCCACAAACCCCUCAAAAAGACCUCGUUAACCUGACCUUUAAGGUCUUUAAUAAUAGAGACGAGGAGACCCAAAUCCAAAAGCAAAGGUGAGAUCGGGCCAAGGCUGAGGCCCAGAGGAGGCCUUUCAGCUCCCGGCCACCGCUCUCAUGAGCCCCAAACGAAGGGCCGGUUCUCCAACUGCAGGUAAGUCAGGCGCUAAGCCUCCUCCGGGCCGAUGUUUCAAAUGCAGCAAGGGAGGACACUGAGCCAAGUCCUGCCCAAACCCGAGACCCCCACCUGGGCCCUGCCCAAGGUGAGGAAGGGAAAGGCCACUGGAAAUCAGACUGUAGUCUGGCCUUCUGGUUCAGGCCUCAGCCAGUCCAGCAUGGCCGCCCUCUGGAUCCGGGUUGGAGCUCCCAGACCUCCUGGGACUGGCCACCGAAGAAGCUGCCCAGGCCCUGACGCGGCCCCACAGACUUACAUCACGAGGACAGAGCCUCCGGUAACGACUGUGGUGGCAGGUAAGCAGAUCUCCUUUUAAUGGACCCUGGGGCCACUUAUUCUGCCCUCCCCGAAUCGCUGGGACCCUUGUCCCCUCCGCAGUCUCUGUUAUGGGGGUUGACGGAUCAGCCUCACAGCCAUGAGCCACCUCCCCUCCGCACUGCGUCUCACUAGAUCCCCCUUCACUUUUCUCAUUCUACCUGGGUGCCCGGCCAGGGCUACUACAUAUCCCCUCAUAAAGCCCGCUUGUCCCAAAGCCACAGUCACCUGCGUCAGCUUCACUCUCUUACGCCACAAGGCCGAGCCAUUCCUGGGACUGUAAACGCCGCAUCUCCUUAUCUCCUCCAUGACUGCCCCUCCUCUGAACAAGAAAUUUUCUCCUUUCUCAGGCUCACUGGGUACUCUUGCCUCCAGGUUCACAACUUUAGUUUUCUUGCACAGCUCCUCUGCGACAUGACAUGGUGAAGGGACUCCUUCAUUGAGCCUUUAGAUCCCAAGGCCAACAUUCUCACCCCUUUAAUGCUCUGAAAAAUGUUAGUCUAAGAAAUGUUGGCUGUUUACUUUUCGGUUAUAAUUGAAAAGUUAAAGUUUCUAAGAGUGAAGAAUUCUAAUACCUUUUAAAGAAAAAAGAAAGAAUAUUAGAGUAGAAAUACUUAAUGGAAGGUCUGAGACAUGGUAUGCAUUUUUGAAGGACAUGGAAGGAAGGUUUGAAGGCUAAUUUGAAAGUGUGAAAUUUGUGAAGGUUGCCUAUGUGAUGAGAAGUAAAGGAGAAAUGUUGAAAGAAAGAGGUUCUAAAGUUAACUAUUUACAAGAAUUGUAAAAGGGCCAUUUUACUCUGAGCAAGAAAGUGAGGUUUCAGUCUCUAAGCCUGGAUACUUCUUAAGCUAAACCAGAAUAUUCAGAAAAACAGCAAGGAUUAAGGUUCAGUAAAAUAAGACGUUAAGUCAGCGAGUGGCAGUUUAUAACCUCAGGAAAUUUCAAGUACUAAAUUUGGCUGGUCUGAGUGCAGUGUCUGACUUCUUAUCCAACCAUCCUGGCCGCUGGUCUCAACUGCUCCUUUCCUUCCCUUUCUCUUUUCCCUUGGAUAACAGCCCAUCCUAGCAUUCCCUCCCACUUUCACUGCAAUCCAAUCUCAACCACUCAUCUGUCUCCCCUUAUUGGUAGCGCCAUGGCGACUACUCUCUCAGCUUGUAGUGCGGAACUAGAAAAAAGAAACUCAUAUCCUUUAGUCCACCUCUUCUCCUUACAACUAUCAGCUUGUCUCCGUGAUCAGGGAUUUUUCUUCCUCUGUGGGGAAAACACAUACAUCUGUCUCCCCAUCAGCUGGACAGGAACUUGUACUCUCUUCUCUCACCCAAUGUAGAUGUAGCCCCCAAUAAUCAGUCUUUACUUGUCCCUGUAACCCAUCAUAGCUGACACAAAAGAGGAGUCCAGAUAAUCCCUCUCCUCAUAACCCUGGGCACACCAGCAGGGGCUGGAACUGCCAUUGGGAGCUUAACCACUGAUCUACAAGAAACAUGUGGGUGCCCAGCAAGGGGCAAAACUGGGAAAACAAGAACCUCAUCCCCAGGGUAACCUGUUCUCCCCUUUCAUAUCACUAGUGAGGCAACUGAGACCCCUAUUCUUUUCCCUCCUAAAACGGUCUCAGUUGUAUUUUAGCUCCAGGCCCAGAAAAGCAGCAAAACCAGACAAGUGAUGCUGUGGCAGCCUCAGGCCCAGCCUUUACCUCCCAGUCACUCCACAGCAUCACUCUGAGCCUUCACCAGCCCGUCUCGGGGAGACCAUGCUGCUGCGCCCCUCACUCCAACCAGAAGGAACCUGUACAACCUUCCAGCUGACUACAGUCAAAGGCCAGCCCCCUGUGAUCUUGACAUCCAGACUCAGCAGCAAGUAACUACAGAAGAUAUGACCUUUGUCCCUAUUCCGUAAAACAAAAAGGCUGGAAUGUUAGGUUUGAUGGAGCAAUUGAGUUGAUACUCUUCCCCCAGGAACUGGCUUUUCAGGUCAUUUCACAAUGGACAUUCCCUUUGACCACAUUCCAUUCUCUCUCCCCCGGGUCUGCAUAAAGAAGUGUCCACCCAGAAAAAGUCCCACCAAAAGUCCUUUAAAAGCCGCUGACUGCCCUCACUGGGUGCUGGAGCCAUCCAGGCUCAGCCACUUGGUGUGUGGAUGAUCAAAUAAAUCCGUAAUCCCUAACCA
Myotis myotis is the source of this 8444-nucleotide long non-coding RNA. RefSeq lists it as uncharacterized. The record is from RefSeq and is a predicted model, not a curated record. Lineage: Eukaryota; Metazoa; Chordata; Mammalia; Chiroptera; Vespertilionidae. The transcript is spliced from 3 exons.